This 1098-nucleotide ribosomal RNA is filed under the name uncultured ammonia-oxidizing bacterium. Its description in RNAcentral is "bacterial SSU rRNA". It matches the Rfam family "Bacterial small subunit ribosomal RNA", at positions 131 to 1225 of the family's 1533-position model. The record is from RNAcentral.
CUUAAGUGGGGAAUAACGCAUCGAAAGGUGUGCUAAUACCGCAUAAUCUCUGAGGAGAAAAGCAGGGGAUCGCAAGGCCUUGCGCUUUUGGAGCGGCCGAUGUCUGAUUAGCUUGUUGGUGAGGUAAAAGCUUACCAAGGCUUCGAUCAGUAGCUGGUCUGAGAGGACGACCAGCCACACUGGGACUGAGACACGGCCCAGACUCCUACGGGAGGCAGCAGUGGGGAAUUUUGGACAAUGGGGGCAACCCUGAUCCAGCCAUGCCGCGUGAGUGAAGAAGGCCUUCGGGUUGUAAAGCUCUUUCAGCCGGAACGAAACGGUUACGGUUAAUACCCGUGACUACUGACGGUACCGGAAGAAGAAGCACCGGCUAACUACGUGCCAGCAGCCGCGGUAAUACGUAGGGUGCGAGCGUUAAUCGGAAUUACUGGGCGUAAAGCGUGCGCAGGUGGUUUUGUAAGUCAGAUGUGAAAUCCCCGGGCUCAACCUGGGAACUGCGUUUGAAACUACAAGGCUAGAGUGUGGCAGAGGGGGGUGGAAUUCCGCGUGUAGCAGUGAAAUGCGUAGAGAUGUGGAGGAACACCGAUGGCGAAGGCAGCCCCCUGGGUCAACACCGACGCUCAGGCACGAAAGCAUGGGGAGCAAACAGGAUUAGAUACCCUGGUAGUCCAUGCCCUAAACGAUGUCAACUAGUUGUCGGGCCUUAACGGGCUUGGUAACGUAGCUAACGCGUGAAGUUGACCGCCUGGGGAGUACGACCGCAAGAUUAAAACUCAAAGGAAUUGACGGGGACCCGCACAAGCGGUGGAUUAUGUGGAUUAAUUCGAUGCAACGCGAAAAACCUUACCUACCCUUGACAUGUAUCGAAGCCCGCAGAAAAGCGGGUGUGCCCGAAAGGGAACGAUAACACAGGUGCUGCAUGGCUGUCGUCAGCUCGUGUCGUGAGAUGUUGGGUUAAGUCCCGCGACGAGCGCAACCCUUGUCAUUAAUUGCCAUCAUUUAGUUGGGCACUUUAAUGAGACUGCCGGUGACAAACCGGAGGAAGGUGGGGAUGACGUCAAGUCCUCAUGGCCCUUAUGGGUAGGGCUUCACACGUAA